This 74-nucleotide transfer RNA is filed under the name Oscillospiraceae bacterium. RNAcentral's name for it is "tRNA-Met". It matches the Rfam family "tRNA". Rfam says of the family: Transfer RNA (tRNA) molecules are approximately 80 nucleotides in length. Their secondary structure includes four short double-helical elements and three loops (D, anti-codon, and T loops). Further hydrogen bonds mediate the characteristic L-shaped molecular structure. tRNAs have two regions of fundamental functional importance: the anti-codon, which is responsible for specific mRNA codon recognition, and the 3' end, to which the tRNAs corresponding amino acid is attached (by aminoacyl-tRNA synthetases). tRNAs cope with the degeneracy of the genetic code in two manners: having more than one tRNA (with a specific anti-codon) for a particular amino acid; and 'wobble' base-pairing, i.e. permitting non-standard base-pairing at the 3rd anti-codon position. Lineage: Bacteria; Bacillati; Bacillota; Clostridia; Eubacteriales; Oscillospiraceae. The record is from RNAcentral.
GGACCAUUAGCUCAGUUGGUUAGAGCAACCGGCUCAUAACCGGUUGGUCCAAGGUUCGAGUCCUUGAUGGUCCA